This 466-nucleotide ribosomal RNA is filed under the name uncultured bacterium. RNAcentral describes it as "partial 16S ribosomal RNA". It matches the Rfam family "Bacterial small subunit ribosomal RNA", at positions 29 to 507 of the family's 1533-position model. The record is from RNAcentral.
ACGAACGCUGGCGGCGUGCUUAACACAUGCAAGUCGAACGGAAAGGCCCUGCUUUUGUGGGGUGCUCGAGUGGCGAACGGGUGAGUAACACGUGAGUAACCUGCCCUUGACUUUGGGAUAACUUCAGGAAACUGGGGCUAAUACCGGAUAGGAGCUCCUGCUGCAUGGUGGGGGUUGGAAAGUUUCGGCGGUUGGGGAUGGACUCGCGGCUUAUCAGCUUGUUGGUGGGGUAGUGGCUUACCAAGGCUUUGACGGGUAGCCGGCCUGAGAGGGUGACCGGCCACAUGGGACUGAGAUACGGCCCAGACUCCUACGGGAGGCAGCAGUGGGGAAUAUUGCACAAUGGGCGGAAGCCUGAUGCAGCAACGCCGCGUGCGGGAUGACGGCCUUCGGGUUGUAAACCGCUUUCGCCUGUGACGAAGCGUGAGUGACGGUAAUGGGUAAAGAAGCACCGGCUAACUACGUG